CCUCGGGAGGCUGCAGUGGGGAAUAUUGGACAAGGGGCGAAAGCCUGAUCCAGCCAUGCCGCGUGUGUGAAGAAGGCCUUCGGGUUGUAAAGCACUUUCAGUGGGGAAGAAAGCCUUGGGGCUAAUACCCUCGAGGAAGGACAUCACCCACAGAAGAAGCACCGGCUAACUCCGUGCCAGCAGCCGCGGUAAUACGGAGGGUGCGAGGGUAAUCGGAAGUACUGGGCGUAAAGCGCGCGUAGGCGGUCUGAUAAGCCGGUUGUGAAAGCCCCGGGCUCAACCUGGGAACGGCAUCCGGAACUGUCAGGCUAGAGUGCAGGAGAGGAAGGUAGAAUUCCCGGUGUAGCGGUGAAAUGCGUAGAGAUCGGGAGGAAUACCAGUGGCGAAGGCGGCCUUCUGGACUGACACUGACGCUGAGGUGCGAAAGCGUGGGUAGCAAACAGGAUUAGAUACCCGAGUAGUC
This 463-nucleotide ribosomal RNA is filed under the name Vreelandella stevensii. Its description in RNAcentral is "partial 16S ribosomal RNA". It matches the Rfam family "Bacterial small subunit ribosomal RNA", at positions 339 to 795 of the family's 1533-position model. The record is from RNAcentral. Lineage: Bacteria; Pseudomonadati; Pseudomonadota; Gammaproteobacteria; Oceanospirillales; Halomonadaceae.